GAAAGAAAGAGGAGAGUAAAAAGAGAAGGAGAGAAUAUAGAAAGGAGAAGAAAAAAGAAUGAGAAAAUCCAAUUAACACAUUGCAUCAUUCAAAAAAAGAAAGAAGAGAGAAAGUGUGUAAAAAACAGAAAGCAGAAAAACUGAAUAAAUACAAUUAACACAUUACAUUGUAAAAGACAAGAAUACAUAAGUGAUUAAAGUAUGCAAUAUCAAAUAGAGUUGGGAAAUCUAUCAAAUCAAUACAGUAGAUAAUAUCAGUGAAAUUAAAAAAUAACAUUAAGGAGUCUAAAAACUCCUUGCCAAGGUAUUCAAGAUGGAGAGAUUUCUUAUCGAAGCUUUCAGCCUGGAUUUUGCUAGGCAUUGGGAGGCAUAAUAAAUCUCUAAACCUUGGCUGUGUGACCUCUGAAUACAUCUGGGUUUAGAGGUAAUGACCACACCAUCUGUCUCUAUGCUGCUUUGGGGAGGUGUGUAUUUAGUUUUUUCUCAUCUAGUUGAGCAUUCCGUUUCACAAAACUGCCCAGAAUUCAACUUGUUGUACCUAUUCUGUGCAUGGACAUUGCUGGUGACCCACAUACUUUUCCUGUUCCAUUGAUCAUUGGCUUUCAGCUCUCAGCCAACCCACUACAUAAGUUGAUUAGAUAGCCUGGUUCAAAGGUGUUCCCCUUGGAUACUUUUGCUGCUAUUUCUGGUUGGGAUGAGUGUGUAGGAAUUUACUUCCCAAACCUUCAAGCUUAGGAGUGGUCUUUAUAAAAUGGAUGCCUGCCACAGAUCUCCACCCCAAAUUGAGAAAAGUGGAGCCCUCCUUAUACAUCCUUCUACUUUGGAGUUCCUUCCCUGGCUUAAUUCAGUCUUUGUAUUCUACCACUGUUUCUUAAAAAAACUUGCCAUCUUUGUCCCUAUUUGUGACCCCUCUCCUUAUACCUGUCCCAGUGCUGCAGAUGUAGGCUGAGGAUUAAUGAAUUCUUUCUUGCUUUCUGUUCCAGUAAUCAGGGUUUCUGAUUGACUUUUAGUCUCUGACAAUCUAAAGUUUGCCUCAGUGCAUUCCCCUCUGUCACUCACCUCACUGAGUAGAUGCUCUCUUAUUGUUUUGAUUCCAAACUGUGGCAAAGCUGGGCCUAUUUUUACUUCACCAUCUUGAUAACCUUAAGACUCCUCUUUUAUUUUUUUAAUAUUCAUUUUUUAGUUGUAGUUGGACAUAGUACCUUUAUUCCAUUCAGUUAUUUUUUUAAUGUGAUGCUGAGGUUCAAACCCAGGGCCCCGCGCAUGCUAGGCGAGCACUCUAUCACUGAGCCACAAUCCCAGCCCCUUAAGACUCCUCUUUUCUAAUGUAUGAAUUUAGUGAUGUAAGUUUCCAUCUCAGCAUGGAUUUAUAUUUGUCUGAAAACUUUUAAUGCCUUGUGUUUUAAUUUCCACUUAUUUCAAAAUUAAAAAAAAAUUCUCAGAGAUAUUCUUUGACUCAUGAAUUAUUUACAAGUAUGUGUUUUAUUUUCUAAAUACUUGGAUUUUUUUUCUGUGAUUUUUCCGUCAUUGAUUUCUUGUUUGACUCCAUUGUAGUUGGAGGAUAUACUUGGUAUUUUAAAAAUUUUAAAUUUGUUGAGGCUUGUAUUAUGGUCCAGGGUAUGAUCUAUGUUGAUAAUGUUCCACAAGGAUAUGAAAAUAAUGUAUAUUCUAUUGUCAUUGGGUAUAAAUUCUGUUGGCUGAUUGUGUUUUUUAGAAACUUCUAUAUCUUUAUGGAUUUUCUGUCUAGUUUUUCCAUCAAUUGCUGAG
Molecule: long non-coding RNA, 1767 nt
Filed under: Marmota monax (woodchuck)
Lineage: Eukaryota; Metazoa; Chordata; Mammalia; Rodentia; Sciuridae
Source: RNAcentral